Molecule: ribosomal RNA, 253 nt
Filed under: uncultured bacterium
Lineage: Bacteria
Description: partial 16S ribosomal RNA
Rfam family: Bacterial small subunit ribosomal RNA
Source: RNAcentral
UACAGAGGUCCCAAGCGUUGUUCGGAAUUACUGGGCGUAAAGCGUGCGCAGGCGGUUUUGUAAGUCUGAUGUGAAAUCCCCGGGCUCAACCUGGGAAUUGCAUUGGAGACUGCAAGGCUAGAAUCUGGCAGAGGGGGGUAGAAUUCCACGUGUAGCAGUGAAAUGCGUAGAGAUGUGGAGGAACACCGAUGGCGAAGGCAGCCCCCUGGGUCAAGAUUGACGCUCAUGCACGAAAGCGUGGGGAGCAAACAGG